ACCCGCACAAGCGGUGGAUGAUGUGGUUUAAUUCGAUGCAACGCGAAAACCUUACCACCUUUGACAUGUACGGAAUCCUUUAGAGAUAGAGGAGUGCUCGAAAGAGAACCGUAACACAGGUGCUGCAUGGCUGUCGUCAGCUCGUGUCGUGAGAUGUUGGGUUAAGUCCCGCAACGAGCGCAACCCUUGUCAUUAGUUGCUACAUUCAGUUGGGCACUCUAAUGAGACUGCCGGUGACAAACCGGAGGAAGGUGGGGAUGACGUCAAGUCCUCAUGGCCCUUAUAGGUGGGGCUACACACGUCAUACAAUGGAUGGUACAAAGGGUCGCCAACCCGCGAGGGGGAGCCAAUCCCAUAAAGCCAUUCGUAGUCCGGAUCGCAGUCUGCAACUCGACUGCGUGAAGUCGGAAUCGCUAGUAAUCGUGGAUCAGAAUGUCACGGUGAAUACGUUCCCGGGUCUU
This 461-nucleotide ribosomal RNA is filed under the name uncultured Acidovorax sp. Its description in RNAcentral is "bacterial SSU rRNA". It matches the Rfam family "Bacterial small subunit ribosomal RNA", at positions 919 to 1382 of the family's 1533-position model. The record is from RNAcentral. Lineage: Bacteria; Pseudomonadati; Pseudomonadota; Betaproteobacteria; Burkholderiales; Comamonadaceae.